CCCUUAGACGUUCUGGGCCGCACGCGCGCUACACUGACGAAGGCAACGAGCUUUCCUUUACCGAAAGGUACGGGUAAUCUUUUGAAACUUCGUCGUGCUGGGGAUAGAUCCUUGCAAUUUUUGAUCUUAAACGAGGAAUGCCUAGUAAGCGCAAGUCAUCAACUUGCGUUGAUUACGUCCCUGCCCUUUGUACACACCGCCCGUCGCUACUACCGAUUGAAUGGUUUAGUGAGGCCUUCGGAUCCGCGACUCGUUUGUGGAGAAGUUGGACAAACUCAGUCAUUGAGAGGAAGUAAAAGUCGUAACA
RNAcentral lists this ribosomal RNA (307 nucleotides) under uncultured eukaryote. RNAcentral describes it as "partial 18S ribosomal RNA". It matches the Rfam family "Eukaryotic small subunit ribosomal RNA", at positions 1470 to 1796 of the family's 1831-position model. The record is from RNAcentral.